UACGAAAGGUGCAAGCGUUACUCGGAAUCACUGGGCGUAAAGCGCACGUAGGCGGACUACUAAGUCAGGGGUGAAAUCCCGGGGCUCAACCCCGGAACUGCCUUUGAUACUGAUAGUCUCGAGUCCGGAAGAGGUGAGUGGAAUUCCGAGCGUAGAGGUGAAAUUCGUAGAUAUUCGGAGGAACACCAGUGGCGAAGGCGGCUCACUGGUCCGGUACUGACGCUGAGGUGCGAAAGCGUGGGGAGCAAACAGG
RNAcentral lists this ribosomal RNA (253 nucleotides) under uncultured bacterium. RNAcentral's name for it is "partial 16S ribosomal RNA". It matches the Rfam family "Bacterial small subunit ribosomal RNA", at positions 524 to 776 of the family's 1533-position model. The record is from RNAcentral.